AGCGAACGCUGGCGGCAGGCCUAACACAUGCAAGUCGAGCGCCCAGCAAGGGGAUCGGCAGACGGGAGAGUAACACGUGGGAACGUGCCCUUUGGUUCGGAACAACCAAGGGAAACUUGGGCUGAUACCGGAUAAGCCAUCACGGGGAAAGAUUGACCUCCGAAGGAUCGGCCCGCGUCUGAUUAGCUAGUGUGUGGGGCAAUGGCCCUCCACGGCGACGAUCAGUAGCGGGUCGGAGAGGAUGAUCAGCCUCACUGGGACUGAGACACGGCCCAGACCCCUACGGGAGGCAGCAGUGGGGAAUAUUGGACAAUGGGCGCAAGCCUGAUCCAGCCAUGCCGCGUGUGUGAUGAAGGCCCUAGGGUUGUAAAGCCCUUUCGGCGGGGAAGAUAAUGACGGUACCCGCAGAAGAAGCCCCGGCUAACUUCGUGCCAGCCGCCGCCGUAA
This 447-nucleotide ribosomal RNA is filed under the name uncultured bacterium. RNAcentral's name for it is "partial 16S ribosomal RNA". It matches the Rfam family "Bacterial small subunit ribosomal RNA", at positions 29 to 523 of the family's 1533-position model. The record is from RNAcentral.